AACGAACGCUGGCGGCAUGCUUAACACAUGCGAGUCGAGCGGUCAUCUUCGAAUUUCCGCGGCAGGCGGUGUUGUAAAAGGGGGAAACAUACCCUUGGUUUCUGAACAGCACUGGGAAACUGCAAUUAGAACCGAUAACGCCCUUAGGGGAAAAGGUUUACUGCCGAAGGAUCGGCCCACUUCGGGUUAGCGAGUUGGUGGGGUACCGGCCUAACAAGGCGACGAUCAUUAGCUGGGCUGAGAGGAUGAUCCGCCACACUGGGAGUGAGACAAGGACCAGACUUCCACCGGUGGAAGCAGUGGGGAAUAUUGGACAAUGGGCGAAAGACUGAGCUAGUCAUGCCGUGUGAGUGAUGAAGGACUUAGGGUUGUAAAGCUCUUUUGUCCGGGACGAUAAUGACGGUACCGUAAGAAUAAGCCACGGCUAACUUCGUG
This 435-nucleotide ribosomal RNA is filed under the name uncultured bacterium. RNAcentral's name for it is "partial 16S ribosomal RNA". It matches the Rfam family "Bacterial small subunit ribosomal RNA", at positions 29 to 507 of the family's 1533-position model. The record is from RNAcentral.